AAAUUGAAGAGUUUGAUCAUGGCUCAGAUUGAACGCUGGCGGCAGGCCUAACACAUGCAAGUCGAGCGGUAGCACAGAGAGCUUGCUCUCGGGUGACGAGCGGCGGACGGGUGAGUAAUGUCUGGGAAACUGCCUGAUGGAGGGGGAUAACUACUGGAAACGGUAGCUAAUACCGCAUAACGUCGCAAGACCAAAGUGGGGGACCUUCGGGCCUCAUGCCAUCAGAUGUGCCCAGAUGGGAUUAGCUAGUAGGUGGGGUAACGGCUCACCUAGGCGACGAUCCCUAGCUGGUCUGAGAGGAUGACCAGCCACACUGGAACUGAGACACGGUCCAGACUCCUACGGGAGGCAGCAGUGGGGAAUAUUGCACAAUGGGCGCAAGCCUGAUGCAGCCAUGCCGCGUGUGUGAAGAAGGCCUUCGGGUUGUAAAGCACUUUCAGCGGGGAGGAAGGCGGUGAGGUUAAUAACCUCANAGAAGGCCUUCGGGUUGUAAAGCACUUUCAGCGGGGAGGAAGGCGUUAAGGUUAAUAACCUUGGCGAUUGACGUUACCCGCAGAAGAAGCACCGGCUAACUCCGUGCCAGCAGCCGCGGUAAUACGGAGGGUGCAAGCGUUAAUCGGAAUUACUGGGCGUAAAGCGCACGCAGGCGGUCUGUCAAGUCGGAUGUGAAAUCCCCGGGCUCAACCUGGGAACUGCAUUCGAAACUGGCAGGCUAGAGUCUUGUAUAGGGGGGUAGAAUUCAAGGAGUAGCGGUGUAAUGCGUAGAGAUCUGGAGGAAUCCCGGUGGCGAAGGCGGCCCCCUGGACAAAGACUGACGCUCAGGUGCGAAAGCGUGGGGAGCAAACAGGAUUAGAUACCCUGGUAGUCCACGCCGUAAACGAUGUCGAUUUGGAGGUUGUGCCCUUGAGGCGUGGCUUCCGGAGCUAACGCGUUAAAUCGACCGCCUGGGGAGUACGGCCGCAAGGUUAAAACUCAAAUGAAUUGACGGGGGCCCGCACAAGCGGUGGAGCAUGUGGUUUAAUUCGAUGCAACGCGAAGAACCUUACCUGGUCUUGACAUCCACAGAACUUUCCAGAGAUGGAUUGGUGCCUUCGGGAACUGUGAGACAGGUGCUGCAUGGCUGUCGUCAGCUCGUGUUGUGAAAUGUUGGGUUAAGUCCCGCAACGAGCGCAACCCUUAUCCUUUGUUGCCAGCGGUUCGGCCGGGAACUCAAAGGAGACUGCCAGUGAUAAACUGGAGGAAGGUGGGGAUGACGUCAAGUCAUCUUGGCCCUUACGACCAGGGCUACACACGUGCUAAAUUGGAAUAUACAAAGAGAAGCGACCUCGCGAGAGCAAGCGGAACUCAUAAAGUAUGUCGUAGUCAGGAUUGGAGUCUGCAACUCGAUUCCAUGAAGUCGGAAUCGCUAGUAAUCGUAGAUCAUAAUGCUACGGUGAAUACGUUCCCGGGCCUUGUACCCACCGCCCGUCACACCAUGGGAGUGGGUUGCAAAAGAAGUAGGUAGCUUAACCUUCGGGAGGGCGCUUACCACUUUGUGAUUCAUGACUGGGGUGAAGUCGUAACAAGGUAACCGUAGGGGAACCUGCGGUUGGAUCACCUCCUUA
This 1604-nucleotide ribosomal RNA is filed under the name Klebsiella pneumoniae. RNAcentral describes it as "bacterial SSU rRNA". It matches the Rfam family "Bacterial small subunit ribosomal RNA". Lineage: Bacteria; Pseudomonadati; Pseudomonadota; Gammaproteobacteria; Enterobacterales; Enterobacteriaceae. The record is from RNAcentral.